Molecule: small nuclear RNA, 296 nt
Filed under: Propithecus coquereli (Coquerel's sifaka)
Lineage: Eukaryota; Metazoa; Chordata; Mammalia; Primates; Indriidae
Description: 7SK RNA (ENSPCOG00000011311.1)
Rfam family: 7SK RNA
About the family: 7SK was discovered as an abundant small nuclear RNA in the mid-70s but a possible function has only recently been suggested.
Source: RNAcentral
GGAUGUGAGGGCCAUCUGGCUGUGACAUCUGUCACCCCAUUGAUCGCCAGGGUUGAUUUGGCUGAUAUGGCUGGCUCAGUGGGUGUCCCCUUCCCCCCCUCACUGCUCCAUGUGUGUCCCUCCUGAAGCUGCGCACUAAGUCGAAGAGGACGACCUUCCCCGAUAGAGGAGGACCAUUCUUCGGUCAAGGGUAUAUGAGUAGCUGCGCUUCCCUGCUAGAACCUCCAAACAAGCUCUCAAAAGAAUUAUUAGUAAAGAUUGUGGUGCCAGUGAAAAGGGAAGUUGGGCCUCUGUUU